UACGUAGGGUGCAAGCGUUGUCCGGAAUUAUUGGGCGUAAAGAGCUCGUAGGCGGUUUGUCGCGUCUGCUGUGAAAACGCGAGGCUCAACCUCGCGCCUGCAGUGGGUACGGGCAGACUAGAGUGCGGUAGGGGAGAUUGGAAUUCAUGGUGUAGCGGUGGAAUGCGCAGAUAUCAGGAGGAACACCGAUGGCGAAGGCAGAUCUCUGGGCAGUAACUGACGCUGAGGAGCGAAAGCGUGGGGAGCGAACAGG
This 253-nucleotide ribosomal RNA is filed under the name uncultured bacterium. Its description in RNAcentral is "partial 16S ribosomal RNA". It matches the Rfam family "Bacterial small subunit ribosomal RNA", at positions 524 to 776 of the family's 1533-position model. The record is from RNAcentral.